Molecule: ribosomal RNA, 497 nt
Filed under: uncultured bacterium
Lineage: Bacteria
Description: partial 16S ribosomal RNA
Rfam family: Bacterial small subunit ribosomal RNA
Source: RNAcentral
GAUGAACGCUGGCGGCGUGCCUAAUACAUGCAAGUCGAGCGAACAGACGAGGAGCUUGCUCCUCUGACGUUAGCGGCGGACGGGUGAGUAACACGUGGAUAACCUACCUAUAAGACUGGGAUAACUUCGGGAAACCGGUGCUAAUACCGGAUAAUAUAUUGAACAGCAUGGUUCACUAGUGAAAGACGGUUUUGCUGUUACUUAUAGAUGGAUCCGCGCCGCAUUAGCUAGUUGGUAAGGUAACGGCUUACCAAGGCAACGAUGCGUAGCCGACCUGAGAGGGUGAUCGGCCACACUGGAACUGAGACACGGCCCAGACUCCUACGGGAGGCAGCAGUAGGGAAUCUUCCGCAAUGGGCGAAAGCCUGACGGAGCAACGCCGCGUGAGUGAUGAAGGUCUUCGGAUCGUAAAACUCUGUUAUUAGGGAAGAACAAAUGUGUAAGUAACUAGGCACGUCUUGACGGUACCUAAUCAGAAAGCCACGGCUAACUACGUG